AUUCGUCAGAAACCUUCUUCAUAGGCUUCCCUUCAACAAAACUGGAUUAGCCUUGGCUCAGCACGCAUCCCAGAUACCUUCUUCAAGGGCCAGACGGUGACCAGGCCUGAAAGGGCUCAGGCUGGAGUCAGCAGCCCUGCAACAAAAUCCUUGGAGCUGGAAGAUUCUAUGAGGUGAAGGACCCUGAAUGUAUGGAGACGGUCAAGAAAUUGAUUCAAAGCUUCAGUUAUUAAGGAGUAGGCUGAGGAAGAACCACACAGUACGUUUCUUAGCAGAGAGCUCAGACCUACAGAGGUGCAGAAAGACGGAGGAUGACCCAAAUAAGGAUGUCGACAGAGGAAGAGAGGACACCCGGCCGUCAGGGAGUCUUAGAAAUGACUAGACCUCAGCCGAUGAUCCACAAUGGGGCCAGACAGGAUGGAAGAGACCAAAUCCAAACCAGGACUAUUCCAAACUGGGAAAAGAUCCUCGGCAGCGGCAUCUGGGCUCUCGGAGACCAGACCAGCAUCAGGGUCUCCUAGACUAUGUGGAGAAAAUUGGGAUUGAGUCAGGAAACCCAGACCUGAGAACGCACUGAACACGGCAGAGUGAGGAAGGGGUACAACGCCCUCACCUGGACGGCCACCCUGUGUGUACCAGGUGAUCAACAGGCAGGCCCUGGCCUCCUGGAGUUCCGGGAUAUGAUGAGGUCUGUUGAACUGUAGUCCGUGCAUCUGUCUGGACCUGUGGCCCAUCCGUUCACCUGCCCCAGCCCUGCCCUUUGCCUCUAGUCUCCACAGUCCCACACCUCGCUUCUUCGGCUCAGCUCUGACUGAGUGUCCUGAUGCAGCCACAGCAUCCGCAGGCUGUCUCCAGCAGCUCACUCGCCCUCACACUCUUCCUGCAAUGUACUCUAACGCGGUGGCUCUCAACCGUCCAAUGCCGCGGCCCUUUAAUACAGCUCCUCCUGUUGUGGGGACCCCAACCAUAA
This is a long non-coding RNA of Mesocricetus auratus (golden hamster), 970 nucleotides long. RefSeq lists it as uncharacterized. NCBI's taxonomy places the organism in Eukaryota, Metazoa, Chordata, Mammalia, Rodentia, Cricetidae. The transcript has 5 exons. The record is from RefSeq and is a predicted model, not a curated record.